This 273-nucleotide long non-coding RNA is filed under the name Lathyrus oleraceus (garden pea). Its description in RNAcentral is "Pisum sativum (pea) long non-coding RNA (PSAT_LNC003532)". Lineage: Eukaryota; Viridiplantae; Streptophyta; Magnoliopsida; Fabales; Fabaceae. The record is from RNAcentral.
GAAAUUGGGGGACAACAGGAUAUGACCCAAGAAAAAGUGAUCAUCACCAAUGGAGGCGUGGAGAAAGACACCAUAGCACUUACAAACCAUCCAAAAAAGCAACGGAUGACAAAUGGGUUCAACCCAUUAGAGAUGCUCAAGGACAGAAAAAAUGGAGAAAUUUUGAAGUUCAGAGAGGCACUUCGAUGGAAGGUAAGAAGGAGGUGGAGAAGCACAAGCCGAGACCAUAUCCUUCAGAAAACUACAAAGGAAAAAACCCUAUGUCAAGAUCCC